Molecule: transfer RNA, 76 nt
Filed under: Gammaproteobacteria bacterium
Lineage: Bacteria; Pseudomonadati; Pseudomonadota; Gammaproteobacteria
Description: tRNA-Asn
Rfam family: tRNA
About the family: Transfer RNA (tRNA) molecules are approximately 80 nucleotides in length. Their secondary structure includes four short double-helical elements and three loops (D, anti-codon, and T loops).
Source: RNAcentral
UCCCGGGUAGCUCAGUCGGUAGAGCAAGUGACUGUUAAUCACUGGGUCGGCGGUUCGAGCCCGUCCCCGGGAGCCA